UACGGGAGGGCAGCAGUGGGGAAUAUUGCACAAUGGGCGCAAGCCUGAUGCAGCCAUGCCGCGUGUAUGAAAAAGGCCUUCGGGUUGUAAAGUACUUUCAGUCGUGAGGAAGGUGUUAAGGUUAAUAACCUUAGCAAUUGACGUUAGCGACAGAAGAAGCACCGGCUAACUCCGUGCCAGCAGCCGCGGUAAUACGGAGGGUGCGAGCGUUAAUCGGAAUUACUGGGCGUAAAGGGCACGCAGGCGGUUAAUUAAGUUGGAUGUGAAUCCCCGGGCUUAACCUGGGAAUGGCAUUCAAGACUGGUUAGCUAGAGUCUUGUAGAGGGGGUAGAAUUCCAUGUGUAGCGGUGAAAUGCGUAGAGAUGUGGAGGAAUACCGGUGGCGAAGGCGGCCCCUGGACAAAGACUGACGCUCAUGUGCGAAAGCGUGGGGAGCAAACAGGGAUUAGAUACC
RNAcentral lists this ribosomal RNA (453 nucleotides) under uncultured bacterium. RNAcentral's name for it is "bacterial SSU rRNA". It matches the Rfam family "Bacterial small subunit ribosomal RNA", at positions 340 to 786 of the family's 1533-position model. The record is from RNAcentral.